AACGAAGAGUACUGCCGUUAUUUGUGUUGAUUGGGUGUAAAGGGUACGUAGGCAGCUCCCAGUAAUUUUUGGCCAAAAUAGCAGAGAGUUCCUGUGCGAUCGGCCUUUGAAGAAAGGAGCUUGAGUUAAUGAUGGGUCGGGGCAAAUUCGUGCCUAGGGGUAGAAUCCACAAAACCACGAAUGAACACCAGGUGGUGAAAACUUCCUUCUAGCAUUAACUGACGCUAAGGUACGGAAGCGUAGGUAGCAAACAGG
Molecule: ribosomal RNA, 255 nt
Filed under: uncultured bacterium
Lineage: Bacteria
Description: partial 16S ribosomal RNA
Rfam family: Bacterial small subunit ribosomal RNA
Source: RNAcentral